Molecule: ribosomal RNA, 324 nt
Filed under: uncultured eukaryote
Lineage: Eukaryota
Description: partial 18S ribosomal RNA
Rfam family: Eukaryotic small subunit ribosomal RNA
Source: RNAcentral
CCCUUAGAUGUUCUGGGCCGCACGCGCGCUACACUGAUGCAUUCAACGAGCACCCGCUGGGCCGAGAGGUCCGGCUAAUCUUUGAACGUGCAUCGUGCUGGGGAUAGAUGAUUGCAAUUAUUCAUCUUCAACCAGGAAUUCCUAGUAAACGCAAGUCAUCAGCUUGCAUUGAUUACGUCCCUGCCCUUUGUACACACCGCCCGUCGCACCUACCGAUUGAAUGGUCCGGUGAAAUUCUCGGACGCGGACUUGCGAUGUUAAUUCGGAGCUUGACUGUGAAAGUUAAUUAAACCUUACCAUUUAGAGGAAGGUGAANUCGUAACA